Molecule: ribosomal RNA, 843 nt
Filed under: Triticum aestivum (bread wheat)
Lineage: Eukaryota; Viridiplantae; Streptophyta; Magnoliopsida; Poales; Poaceae
Description: partial small subunit ribosomal RNA
Source: RNAcentral
AUGCACAUUGUUCCUGAACUGGAAUUGUUUCAUCUAUGCAGGAAUAAGAUCAAGAUACUGGAUGCCGGUGCCCUUGAGCCGCUGCUUGGUUACUUGCAGUCAAGCGAUCUGAACUUACAGGAGUAUGCGGCUGCUGCAAUCCUCACUCUCUCAGCCUCAUCCACAAAUAAGCCCAUCAUAAGCGUAUCCGGGGCAAUCCCUCUCCUUGUAAAGGUUCUGGAAGAAGGGAAUCCGCAGGCCAAGAAUGAUGCUGUCAUGGCCCUCUACAACCUCUCCACCAUUGCAGAUAACCUCCAAACCAUCCUCUCUGUCCAGCCCAUCCCCCCUUUGUUAGAGUUGCUGAGAGCUGGCAAGAGGUCCUCCAAGACAGCAGACAAGUGCUGCGCCCUUCUGGAAUCGCUGCUCGCCUUUGAUCAAGGCCGAGUGGCCCUAACUUCCGAGGAAGGCGGGGUGCUCACCAUCGUGGAGGUGCUCGAGGAAGGCUCCCUCCAAGGCCGAGAGCAUGCUGUUGGAGCGCUCCUCACGAUGUGCGAGAGUGACCGCAGUAAAUACAGAGAUCUCAUUCUGAACGAAGGCGCGAUCCCCGGUCUUCUGGAGCUCACCGCUCAUGGCACUCCCAAGUCCAGAGUGAAGGCGCACGCUCUGCUCGACCUGCUGCGCAACUCGCCCUACUCGAGGUCGAAGCUGCAGCCCAACACCCUGGAGAACAUCGUCAGCAACAUUGCUUCUCAGAUCGAUGGGGAGGACCGUGGUGGGAAGGCCAAGAAGAUGCUCGCCGAGAUGGUGAAGGUCAGCAUGGAGCAGAGCUUGAGGCACCUGCAGCGCCGGGCUUCCUUCGCUUGA